AGUAGGCCCCUGGUGGCCGCGGCUGCUGCAGCCGUAACUGUCAGUCCUGGCUGAGCGACGGCGGGAGGGUUUUGUCGCCCGAGGGGACGCGAGCGGGCCCGGGGCGGGGCGGGACGUGCGAGGCGUCGAGAUUUGGGCCUCCUAGGAGCCAGGCUCUUCAAGCCAGCCGGGGCCCCAGACAGGGAAGGGCAGGCCCUUUCCUUCAAAGGGGAGCUCUUUCUCGGCGUUUUCAAGCUUUUUGGCUCUCUUGGGGAAGACAUAUUUAGCCGUGUGCUUGAGGGGAGGUAUGGUGUCAAGAAAACAUAGUCACCAUUAUUACGAAAAGUAAAAUAUGGAAGAGAUGAUCCCUACCAUCAAUCAGCUUACAACUAGAGGCACUGACAAAUGUAUACAGAUAGCUGUAAUGUAAGGUUAAAAAUCUGUAAGAGCCUGAUUUUAGAAUUCACCAGCUCCUCAGAAGUUUGGCGAAAUAUG
Molecule: small RNA, 474 nt
Filed under: Pan troglodytes (chimpanzee)
Lineage: Eukaryota; Metazoa; Chordata; Mammalia; Primates; Hominidae
Description: processed transcript
Source: RNAcentral